RNAcentral lists this ribosomal RNA (1313 nucleotides) under Colletotrichum truncatum. RNAcentral describes it as "LSU rRNA". It matches the Rfam family "Eukaryotic large subunit ribosomal RNA", at positions 68 to 1412 of the family's 3401-position model. The record is from RNAcentral. Lineage: Eukaryota; Fungi; Ascomycota; Sordariomycetes; Glomerellales; Glomerellaceae.
ACAGGGAUUGCCCCAGUAACGGCGAGUGAAGCGGCAACAGCUCAAAUUUGAAAUCUGGCCCUAGGCCCGAGUUGUAAUUUGCAGAGGAUGCUUUUGGCGCGGUGCCUUCCGAGUUCCCUGGAACGGGACGCCAUAGAGGGUGAGAGCCCCGUACGGUUGGACACCAAGUCUUUGUAAAGCUCCUUCGACGAGUCGAGUAGUUUGGGAAUGCUGCUCAAAAUGGGAGGUAUAUUUCUUCUAAAGCUAAAUAUUGGCCAGAGACCGAUAGCGCACAAGUAGAGUGAUCGAAAGAUGAAAAGCACUUUGAAAAGAGGGUUAAACAGCACGUGAAAUUGUUAAAAGGGAAGCGCUUGUGACCAGACUUGCGUCCGGUGAAUCACCCAGCUCUCGCGGCUGGGGCAUUUUGCCGGCUCAGGCCAGCAUCAGCUUGCCGUCGGGGACAAAAGCUUCGGGAACGUAGCUCUCUUCGGGGAGUGUUAUAGCCCGUUGCAUAAUACCCUUCGGUGGGCUGAGGUACGCGCUCCGCAAGGAUGCUGGCGUAAUGGUCAUCAGCGACCCGUCUUGAAACACGGACCAAGGAGUCAACCUUAUGUGCGAGUGUUUGGGUGUUAAACCCCUACGCGUAAUGAAAGUGAACGCAGGUGAGAGCUUCGGCGCAUCAUCGACCGAUCCUGAUGUUCUCGGAUGGAUUUGAGUAAGAGCAUAUAGGGUUGGACCCGAAAGAAGGUGAACUAUGCGUGUAUAGGGUGAAGCCAGAGGAAACUCUGGUGGAGGCUCGCAGCGGUUCUGACGUGCAAAUCGAUCGUCAAAUAUGCGCAUGGGGGCGAAAGACUAAUCGAACCUUCUAGUAGCUGGUUUCCGCCGAAGUUUCCCUCAGGAUAGCAGUGUUGAACUCAGUUUUAUGAGGUAAAGCGAAUGAUUAGGGACUCGGGGGCGCUAUAUUGCCUUCAUCCAUUCUCAAACUUUAAAUAUGUAAGAAGCCCUUGUUACUUAAUUGAACGUGGGCAUUCGAAUGUAUCAACACUAGUGGGCCAUUUUUGGUAAGCAGAACUGGCGAUGCGGGAUGAACCGAACGCGAGGUUAAGGUGCCAGAGUAGACGCUCAUCAGACACCACAAAAGGUGUUAGUACAUCUUGACAGCAGGACGGUGGCCAUGGAAGUCGGAAUCCGCUAAGGACUGUGUAACAACUCACCUGCCGAAUGUACUAGCCCUGAAAAUGGAUGGCGCUCAAGCGUCUCACCCAUACCUCGCCCUCAGUGUAGAAACGAUGCGCUGAGGAGUAGGCGGACGUGGAGGUCAGUGACGAAGCCUA